GCUCGUGUCGUGAGAUUGUUGGUUAAGCCCCGCAACGAGCGCAACCCCUAUUGUUAGUUGCCAUCAUUCAGUUGGGCACUCUAGCGAGACUGCCGGUAAUAACGGAGGAAGUGGGAUGACGUCAAAUCAUCAUGCCCCUUAUGACCUGGGCUACACACGUGCUACAAUGGUUGGUACAACGAGUUGCGAGUCGGUGACGGCGAGCUAAUCUCUUAAAGCCAAUCUCAGUUCGGAUUGCAGGCUGCAACUCGCCUACAUGAAGUCGGAAUCGCUAGUAAUCGCGGAUCAGCACGCCGCGGUGAAUACGUUCCCGGGCCUU
Molecule: ribosomal RNA, 319 nt
Filed under: uncultured Streptococcus sp.
Lineage: Bacteria; Bacillati; Bacillota; Bacilli; Lactobacillales; Streptococcaceae
Description: bacterial SSU rRNA
Rfam family: Bacterial small subunit ribosomal RNA
Source: RNAcentral